GACGAACGCUGGCGGCGUGCUUAACACAUGCAAGUCGAACGGGUCUGCCCUGUUUUUUGCGGGGUGGGUCAGUGGCGAACGGGUGAGUAACACGUGAGUAACCUGCCCCUCACUUCUGGAUAACCGCUUGAAAGGGUGGCUAAUACGGGGUGUUCUGGCUGUGCCGCAUGGUGUGGCUGGGAAAGAUUCACUUUUGUGGUGUUUUGGUGGGGGAUGGGCUCGCGGCCUAUCAGCUUGUUGGUGGGGUGAUGGCCUGCCAAGGCUUUGACGGGUAGCCGGCCUGAGAGGGUGGGCGGUCACACUGGGACUGAGGUACGGCCCAGACUACUGCGGGAGGCAGCAGUGGGGGGUAUUGCACAAUGGGCGGAAGCCUGAUGCAGCGACGUCGAGUGAGGGAUGGAGGCCUUCGGGUUGUGAACCUCUUUCGCCGGUGAAGAAGGUCCUGCUCUUUGUGGUGGGGUUGACGGUAGCCGGGUUAUGAAGCGCCGGCUAACUACGUG
Molecule: ribosomal RNA, 500 nt
Filed under: uncultured bacterium
Lineage: Bacteria
Description: partial 16S ribosomal RNA
Rfam family: Bacterial small subunit ribosomal RNA
Source: RNAcentral